Molecule: ribosomal RNA, 1360 nt
Filed under: Nocardia cyriacigeorgica
Lineage: Bacteria; Bacillati; Actinomycetota; Actinomycetes; Mycobacteriales; Nocardiaceae
Description: 16S ribosomal RNA
Rfam family: Bacterial small subunit ribosomal RNA
Source: RNAcentral
AGCGGUAAGGCCCUUCGGGGUACACGAGCGGCGAACGGGUGAGUAACACGUGGGUGAUCUGCCUCGCACUCUGGGAUAAGCCUGGGAAACUGGGUCUAAUACCGGAUAUGACCUUACAUCGCAUGGUGUUUGGUGGAAAGAUUUAUCGGUGCGAGAUGGGCCCGCGGCCUAUCAGCUUGUUGGUGGGGUAAUGGCCUACCAAGGCGACGACGGGUAGCCGGCCUGAGAGGGCGACCGGCCACACUGGGACUGAGACACGGCCCAGACUCCUACGGGAGGCAGCAGUGGGGAAUAUUGCACAAUGGGCGAAAGCCUGAUGCAGCGACGCCGCGUGAGGGAUGACGGCCUUCGGGUUGUAAACCUCUUUCGACAGGGACGAAGCGCAAGUGACGGUACCUGUAGAAGAAGCACCGGCCAACUACGUGCCAGCAGCCGCGGUAAUACGUAGGGUGCGAGCGUUGUCCGGAAUUACUGGGCGUAAAGAGCUUGUAGGCGGCUUGUCGCGUCGAUCGUGAAAACUUGGGGCUCAACCCCAAGCUUGCGGUCGAUACGGGCAGGCUUGAGUACUUCAGGGGAGACUGGAAUUCCUGGUGUAGCGGUGAAAUGCGCAGAUAUCAGGAGGAACACCGGUGGCGAAGGCGGGUCUCUGGGAAGUAACUGACGCUGAGAAGCGAAAGCGUGGGUAGCGAACAGGAUUAGAUACCCUGGUAGUCCACGCCGUAAACGGUGGGUACUAGGUGUGGGUUUCCUUCCACGGGAUCCGUGCCGUAGCUAACGCAUUAAGUACCCCGCCUGGGGAGUACGGCCGCAAGGCUAAAACUCAAAGGAAUUGACGGGGGCCCGCACAAGCGGCGGAGCAUGUGGAUUAAUUCGAUGCAACGCGAAGAACCUUACCUGGGUUUGACAUACACCGGAAACCUGCAGAGAUGUAGGCCCCCUUGUGGUCGGUGUACAGGUGGUGCAUGGCUGUCGUCAGCUCGUGUCGUGAGAUGUUGGGUUAAGUCCCGCAACGAGCGCAACCCUUAUCUUAUGUUGCCAGCGCGUAAUGGCGGGGACUCGUGAGAGACUGCCGGGGUCAACUCGGAGGAAGGUGGGGACGACGUCAAGUCAUCAUGCCCCUUAUGUCCAGGGCUUCACACAUGCUACAAUGGCCGGUACAGAGGGCUGCGAUACCGUGAGGUGGAGCGAAUCCCUUAAAGCCGGUCUCAGUUCGGAUCGGGGUCUGCAACUCGACCCCGUGAAGUUGGAGUCGCUAGUAAUCGCAGAUCAGCAACGCUGCGGUGAAUACGUUCCCGGGCCUUGUACACACCGCCCGUCACGUCAUGAAAGUCGGUAACACCCGAAGCCGGUGGCCUAACCC